Molecule: long non-coding RNA, 220 nt
Filed under: Nicotiana benthamiana
Lineage: Eukaryota; Viridiplantae; Streptophyta; Magnoliopsida; Solanales; Solanaceae
Description: long non-coding RNA (NBEN_LNC040397)
Source: RNAcentral
UAAGAUAGUUCUAAUACUGUCAAUUUCAGGGACAAAAUUUAAACACAAACCUAAAAGAGUCCCUUUUGUGUCAUUCUCCCCCUAAACAGUACCUAAAUUUAAUCAAUGAUAUUGACCGUCGAAAAUGUUCCCAAGUGUUAUUUUCCAUCUUUAGAAGAGUCACAACCUGAGUAGAAACUAUGACAAGAAUUAUGCGGUAUCAUAAGAGAUGAAGGAUUUC